AUUGGUGUAGUAUAGUGGUGAGUAUUCCCGCCUGUCACGCGGGUGACCCGGAUUCGUUCCCCGGCAACGGCG
Molecule: transfer RNA, 72 nt
Filed under: Turnera subulata
Lineage: Eukaryota; Viridiplantae; Streptophyta; Magnoliopsida; Malpighiales; Passifloraceae
Rfam family: tRNA
About the family: Transfer RNA (tRNA) molecules are approximately 80 nucleotides in length. Their secondary structure includes four short double-helical elements and three loops (D, anti-codon, and T loops).
Source: Rfam by way of RNAcentral